CCUCCCACCGGACAACCACCUGAUAAGUCAUAGGACCCGGAAAUAUCACGCCUCGAUUGGAUUGCUUUGCUUUUCAUCCGCUUGGGCUUUGGGGUCAAAGAAAUAAAGAACAACACACACAAAGACUCAUGCGCUGCAGUCUGAUUUUCUGGUAGUUAUGGUUCUCCUGAGGAUGACCGGGAAUGCGGCAUUGGAAGCGGUACUGCCAGAACUCAGCAAACCAUGGGUUCCUUGUGUUGGUGUCCAAACGCAGCUUCAGAAAGUACUCAUUAAAUGACUGAACUUCUUCCGUUUGCAACUUCAUUGUGAUCCCACCAUCUGCUUCCUGCUCAUAUCCUUCUACCACCUCAUCACGAUCUGCCCAGCCAUCACUUUAGGAGAAAAGAGAGAAGGCAUUUGUGUCAUAAUGAUCCAGCUUUUUUGUAUAAACACAGCUUUCAUAUUUCAUACAAAUGAGAUUCAGUAAACCAGUGGGCACCAAAGCAUUUCACUGUUGAGCUUUGAGUAGUUGUGCAUAGUUGAUCUAAUUUAAUCCCGAAAGAUAAACUGCACAUUUUAGGAUUUUGUAAACAUAUGGAACUUUUGAACAAAUAAAUCAAUUCAAAUUA
Megalobrama amblycephala (Wuchang bream) is the source of this 608-nucleotide long non-coding RNA. RefSeq lists it as uncharacterized. NCBI's taxonomy places the organism in Eukaryota, Metazoa, Chordata, Actinopteri, Cypriniformes, Xenocyprididae. The record is from RefSeq and is a predicted model, not a curated record. The transcript is spliced from 2 exons.